This 383-nucleotide ribosomal RNA is filed under the name uncultured eukaryote. RNAcentral describes it as "partial 18S ribosomal RNA". It matches the Rfam family "Eukaryotic small subunit ribosomal RNA", at positions 592 to 976 of the family's 1831-position model. The record is from RNAcentral.
CAAUAGCGUAUAUUAAAGUUGUUGCAGUUAAAAAGCUCGUAGUUGGAUUUCUGGUGGGAGCGAUCGGUCUGGCGCUUAGCGCGAGUACUUGCAUCGUCUCCGGCCAUCCUUGGGGAGAGUCUGUCUGGCAUUAGGUUGUCGGGCAGAGGAUCCUCAUCGUUUACUGUGAAAAAAUUAGAGUGUUCAAAGCAGGCUUAUGCCGUUGAAUAUAUUAGCAUGGAAUAAUAAGAUUGGACUUUGGUACUAUUUUGUUGGUUUGCGCACCAAAGUAAUGAUUAAUAGGGACAGUUGGGGGUAUUCGUAUUCCGUUGUCAGAGGUGAAAUUCUUGGAUUUACGGAAGACGAACUACUGCGAAAGCAUUUACCAAGGAUGUUUUCAUUAA